RNAcentral lists this long non-coding RNA (1196 nucleotides) under Gouania willdenowi (blunt-snouted clingfish). Its description in RNAcentral is "lncRNA (ENSGWIG00000013063.1)". Lineage: Eukaryota; Metazoa; Chordata; Actinopteri; Blenniiformes; Gobiesocidae. The record is from RNAcentral.
CCUCUCUGCUAAACAACCUCAACAACUUCUUUGCUCGUUUUGAGGCAGACAACAGCACCCCAGCACAGAAGACGCCACCUUCUCCUGGCGACCAGGUACUGACGCUUUCCCGGGAUAGCGUGAAGCGAUCCCUCCAGAGAACAAAUGCACGGAAAGCGCCAGGUCCCGACAACAUCCCAGGUCGUGUCCUGAGAGACUGUGCAGAGGAGCUCACAGAUGUCCUCACCGACAUCUUCAACUCGUCACUGAGCCAAGCUGUUGUCCCCACAUGCUUCAAAGCCACCACCAUCAUCCCGGUCCCCAAGAAGCCGAGUCCAUCCUGCUACAAUGACUACCGCCCGGUCGCACUAACCCCCAUCCUCAUGAAGUGCUUCGAGCGGCUGGUCAUGCAGCACAUCAAGUCUGCCCUCCCCUCCACCCUGGACCCCUACCAGUUUGCAUAUCGGCCUAACCGAUCGACCGACGACGCCAUCUCCACUGCCCUCCACUCAGCCCUCACCCACCUGGAGACCAAGGACGCCCACGUCAGAAUGCUGUUCAUCGACUUCAGCUCAGCAUUCAACACCAUCAUCCCGCAGCAGCUCAUCCACAAACUGGACAACCUGGGCCUAAGCACCCCCAUGUGCAACUGGCUGCUGGACUUCCUGACAGGGAGACCACAGGCAGUUCGGGUCGGCAGUAACACCUCCAGCACCAUCAUGAUGAACACGGGGGCCCCCCAAGGAUGUGUGCUGAGCCCCCUCCUCUUCACUCUGCUGACCCAUGACUGCGCCCCAUCUUCCAGCUCCAACCUCUUCGUUAAGUUCGCGGACGACACGACUGUGGUGGGUCUCAUCAACAACAACGAUGAGUCAAUCUACAGGAGUGAGGUGAGCAGGCUGGCCUCGUGGUGCAAGGACAAUAAUCUCCAUCUGAACGUUGAGAAGACGAAGGAGAUUGUUGUGGACUUCAGGAGAACGCACACCCAGCAUGCUCCUCUGACCAUCGAUGGUGCUGCAGUGGAGAGGGUGAGCAGCACCAAGUUCCUGGGUGUGCACAUCUCCGAAGACCUGUCCUGGUGCCUCAACUCUGCAUCACUGGCCAAAAAAGCUAAUCAGCGCCUCUACUUCCUCCGCAAACUGAGGAGAGCAAGAGCCCCAUCCUCCAUCAUGCACACAUUCUACAGUGGCACCAUUGAGAGCAUCAUGUCCAGCUGC